GUAAUGUCUGGGAAACUGCCUGAUGGAGGGGGAUAACUACUGGAAACGGUGGCUAAUACCGCAUAACGUCGCAAGACCAAAGAGGGGGACCUUCGGGCCUCUUGCCAUCAGAUGUGCCCAGAUGGGAUUAGCUUGUUGGUGAGGUAACGGCUCACCAAGGCGACGAUCCCUAGCUGGUCUGAGAGGAUGACCAGCCACACUGGAACUGAGACACGGUCCAGACUCCUACGGGAGGCAGCAGUGGGGAAUAUUGCACAAUGGGCGCAAGCCUGAUGCAGCCAUGCCGCGUGUAUGAAGAAGGCCUUCGGGUUGUAAAGUACUUUCAGCGGGGAGGAAGGUGUUGUGGUUAAUAACCGCAGCAAUUGACGUUACCCGCAGAAGAAGCACCGGCUAACUCCGUGCCAGCAGCCGCGGUAAUACGGAGGGUGCAAGCGUUAAUCGGAAUUACUGGGCGUAAAGCGCACGCAGGCGGUCUGUCAAGUCGGAUGUGAAAUCCCCGGGCUCAACCUGGGAACUGCAUUCGAAACUGGCAGGCUUGAGUCUUGUAGAGGGGGGUAGAAUUCCAGGUGUAGCGGUGAAAUGCGUAGAGAUCUGGAGGAAUACCGGUGGCGAAGGCGGCCCCCUGGACAAAGACUGACGCUCAGGUGCGAAAGCGUGGGGAGCAAACAGGAUUAGAUACCCUGGUAGUCCACGCCGUAAACGAUGUCUACUUGGAGGUUGUGCCCUUGAGGCGUGGCUUCCGGAGCUAACGCGUUAAGUAGACCGCCUGGGGAGUACGGCCGCAAGGUUAAAACUCAAAUGAAUUGACGGGGGCCCGCACAAGCGGUGGAGCAUGUGGUUUAAUUCGAUGCAACGCGAAGAACCUUACCUGGUCUUGACAUCCACAGAACUUUCCAGAGAUGGAUUGGUGCCUUCGGGAACUGUGAGACAGGUGCUGCAUGGCUGUCGUCAGCUCGUGUUGUGAAAUGUUGGGUUAAGUCCCGCAACGAGCGCAACCCUUAUCCUUUGUUGCCAGCGGUCCGGCCGGGAACUCAAAGGAGACUGCCAGUGAUAAACUGGAGGAAGGUGGGGAUGACGUCAAGUCAUCAUGGCCCUUACGACCAGGGCUACACACGUGCUACAAUGGCGCAUACAAAGAGAAGCGACCUCGCGAGAGCAAGCGGACCUCAUAAAGUGCGUCGUAGUCCGGAUUGGAGUCUGCAACUCGACUCCAUGAAGUCGGAAUCGCUAGUAAUCGUGGAUCAGAAUGCCACGGUGAAUACGUUCCCGGGCCUUGUACACACCGCCCGUCACACCAUGGGAGUGGGUUGCAAAAGAAGUAGGUAGCUUAACCUUCGGGAGGGCGCUUACCACUUUGUGAUUCAUGACUGGGGUGAAGUCGUAACAAGGUAACCGUAGGGGAACCUGCGGUUGGAUCACCUCCUUACCUUAAAGAAGC
RNAcentral lists this ribosomal RNA (1438 nucleotides) under Salmonella enterica. RNAcentral describes it as "bacterial SSU rRNA". It matches the Rfam family "Bacterial small subunit ribosomal RNA". The record is from RNAcentral. Lineage: Bacteria; Pseudomonadati; Pseudomonadota; Gammaproteobacteria; Enterobacterales; Enterobacteriaceae.